UUAUGGCUCAGGAUGAACGCUAGCUACAGGCUUAACACAUGCAAGUCGAGGGGCAGCAUUGGAGUAGCAAUACUCAGAUGGCGACCGGCGCACGGGUGAGUAACACGUAUCCAACCUGCCGCUUACUCGGGGAUAGCCUUUCGAAAGAAAGAUUAAUACCCGAUGGUAUAAAGAGUUCGCAUGUUCUCUUUAUUAAAGAAUUUCGGUAAGCGAUGGGGAUGCGUUCCAUUAGAUAGUUGGCGGGGUAACGGCCCACCAAGUCUACGAUGGAUAGGGGUUCUGAGAGGAAGGUCCCCCACAUUGGAACUGAGACACGGUCCAAACUCCUACGGGAGGCAGCAGUGAGGAAUAUUGGUCAAUGGACGAGAGUCUGAACCAGCCAAAGUAGCGUGAAGGAUGACUGCCCUAUGGGUUGUAAACUUCUUUUAUAAGGGAAUAAAGUGAGGGACGUGUCCCUUUUUGUAUGUACCUUAUGAAUAAGGAUCGGCUAACUCCGUGCCAGCCGCCGC
RNAcentral lists this ribosomal RNA (509 nucleotides) under uncultured bacterium. RNAcentral's name for it is "bacterial SSU rRNA". It matches the Rfam family "Bacterial small subunit ribosomal RNA", at positions 17 to 518 of the family's 1533-position model. The record is from RNAcentral.